This 304-nucleotide ribosomal RNA is filed under the name uncultured eukaryote. Its description in RNAcentral is "partial large subunit ribosomal RNA". It matches the Rfam family "Eukaryotic large subunit ribosomal RNA", at positions 40 to 350 of the family's 3401-position model. The record is from RNAcentral.
AUAUCAAUAAGCGGAGGAAAAGAAACUAACAAGGAUUCCCUUAGUAGUGGCGAACGAAGUGGGAAAAGCUCAGAUUUGGAAUCGCGCAAGCGAAUUGUAGUUUGGAGAAGCAGCAUAGUGUCUGGUCAAGUGCGCCAAGUCCCGUGGAACCGGGCAUUGGAAAGGGUGAGAAUCCCGUACGUGCAUGCGAUCAGGCAGUCCUUUGCGCUCUCAAGGAGUCGGGUUGUUUGGGAAUGCAGCCCUAAAUGGGUGGUAGGCAUCAUCUAAAGCUAAAUAUAGGCACGAGACCGAUAGCGCACAAGUA